This 398-nucleotide ribosomal RNA is filed under the name uncultured bacterium. Its description in RNAcentral is "partial 16S ribosomal RNA". It matches the Rfam family "Bacterial small subunit ribosomal RNA", at positions 523 to 918 of the family's 1533-position model. The record is from RNAcentral.
AUACGUAGGUGGCAAGCGUUGUCCGGAAUUACUGGGCGUAAAGAGCUCGUAGGUGGUUUGUCGCGUCGUCUGUGAAAUUCCGGGGCUUAACUCCGGGCGUGCAGGCGAUACGGGCAUAACUUGAGUACUGUAGGGGAGACUGGACUUCCUGGUGUAGCGGUGAAAUGCGCAGAUAUCAGGAGGAACACCGGUGGCGAAGGCGGGUCUCUGGGCAGUAACUGACGCUGAGGAGCGAAAGCAUGGGUAGCGAACAGGAUUAGAUACCCUGGUAGUCCAUGCCGUAAACGGUGGGCGCUAGGUGUAGGGGUCUUCCACGACUUCUGUGCCGUAGCUAACGCAUUAAGCGCCCCGCCUGGGGAGUACGGCCGCAAGGCUAAAACUCAAAGGAAUUGACGGGG